This 133-nucleotide non-coding RNA is filed under the name Rhodopseudomonas palustris BisB5. RNAcentral describes it as "flg-Rhizobiales RNA". It matches the Rfam family "flg-Rhizobiales RNA". The record is from RNAcentral. Lineage: Bacteria; Pseudomonadati; Pseudomonadota; Alphaproteobacteria; Hyphomicrobiales; Nitrobacteraceae.
GAACCACUGCUUGGGAGAGCGUGGUUCACGGCGAUCCGCGAGAGGUCUGGGAGGACCGGGCGCGGGUCCUUAAAGGGAGAACCACCGAUGCAGAAUACGCUUCUGGUCGGCUUGUCGCGGCAGGUCGUGCUCG